This 31-nucleotide non-coding RNA is filed under the name Rattus norvegicus (Norway rat). The record is from RNAcentral. Lineage: Eukaryota; Metazoa; Chordata; Mammalia; Rodentia; Muridae.
UGGAUCAAGAAAUGUGAGUUUAAAAUCCUGC